This 497-nucleotide ribosomal RNA is filed under the name uncultured bacterium. Its description in RNAcentral is "partial 16S ribosomal RNA". It matches the Rfam family "Bacterial small subunit ribosomal RNA", at positions 28 to 507 of the family's 1533-position model. The record is from RNAcentral.
GAUGAACGCUGGCGGCGUGCCUAAUACAUGCAAGUCGAGCGAACAGACGAGGAGCUUGCUCCUCUGACGUUAGCGGCGGACGGGUGAGUAACACGUGGAUAACCUACCUAUAAGACUGGGAUAACUUCGGGAAACCGGAGCUAAUACCGGAUAAUAUAUUGAACCGCAUGGUUCAAUAGUGAAAGACGGUUUUGCUGUCACUUAUAGAUGGAUCCGCGCCGCAUUAGCUAGUUGGUAAGGUAACGGCUUACCAAGGCGACGAUGCGUAGCCGACCUGAGAGGGUGAUCGGCCACACUGGAACUGAGACACGGUCCAGACUACUAAGGGAGGCAGCAGUAGGGAAUCUUACGCAAUGGGCGAAAGCCUGACGGAGCAACGCCGCGUGAGUGAUGAAGGUCUUCGGAUCGUAAAACUCUGUUAUGAGGGAAGAACAAAUGUGUAAGUAACUAUGCACGUCUUGACGGUACCUAAUCAGAAAGCAACGGCUAACUACGUG